AUUGAACGCUGGCGGCAUGCUUUACACAUGCAAGUCGAACGGUAACAGGCCGCAAGGUGCUGACGAGUGGCGAACGGGUGAGUAAUGCAUCGGAACGUGCCCAGUCGUGGGGGAUAACGCAGCGAAAGCUGUGCUAAUACCGCAUACGAUCUAUGGAUGAAAGCGGGGGACCGUAAGGCCUCGCGCGAUUGGAGCGGCCGAUGUCAGAUUAGGUAGUUGGUGGGGUAAAGGCUCACCAAGCCAACGAUCUGUAGCUGGUCUGAGAGGACGACCAGCCACACUGGGACUGAGACACGGCCCAGACUCCUACGGGAGGCAGCAGUGGGGAAUUUUGGACAAUGGGCGCAAGCCUGAUCCAGCAAUGCCGCGUGCAGGAAGAAGGCCUUCGGGUUGUAACUGCUUUUGUACGGAACGAAACGGCGAGCUCUAAUACAGUUUGCUAAUGACGGUACCGUAAGAAUAAGCACCGGCUAACUACGUGCCAGCAGCCGCCGCCG
Molecule: ribosomal RNA, 497 nt
Filed under: uncultured bacterium
Lineage: Bacteria
Description: partial 16S ribosomal RNA
Rfam family: Bacterial small subunit ribosomal RNA
Source: RNAcentral